GACGGUACUUGAGGAAUAAGCCACGGCUAAUUCCGUGCCAGCAGCCGCGGUAAUACGGGAGUGGCAAGCGUUAUCCGGAAUUAUUGGGCGUAAAGCGUCCGCAGGCGGCCUUGUAAGUCUGUCGUUAAAGCGUGGAGCUUAACUCCAUUUCAGCGAUGGAAACUACAAGGCUUGAGUGUGGUAGGGGCAGAGGGAAUUCCCGGUGUAGCGGUGAAAUGCGUAGAUAUCGGGAAGAACACCAGUGGCGAAGGCGCUCUGCUGGGCCAUAACUGACGCUCAUGGACGAAAGCCAGGGGAGCGAAAGGGAUUAGAUACCCCUGUAGUCCUGGCCGUAAACGAUGAACACUAGGUGUCGGGGGAAUCGACCCCCUCGGUGUCGUAGCUAACGCGUUAAGUGUUCCGCCUGGGGAGUACGCACGCAAGUGUGAAACUCAAAGGAAUUGACGGGGGCCCGCACAAGCGGUGGAGUAUGUGGUUUAAUUCGAUGCAACGCGAAGAACCUUACCAGGGUUUGACAUCCUGCGAAUCCCUUGGAAACGAGGGAGUGCCUUCGGGAGCGCAGAGACGGGUGGUGCAUGGCUGUCGUCAGCUCGUGUCGUGAGAUGUUGGGUUAAGUCCCGCAACGAGCGCAACCCACGUCUUUAGUUGCCAGCAUUCAGUUGGACACUCUAGAGAGACCGCCGGUGAUAAACCGGAGGAAGGUGUGGAUGACGUCAAGUCAUCAUGCCCCUUACAUCCUGGGCUACACACGUACUACAAUGCUACGGACAAAGGGCAGCAAGCUCGCGAGAGUUAGCAAAUCCCAUGAACCGUGGCUCAGUUCAGAUCGUAGGCUGCAACUCGCCUACGUGAAGGAGGAAUCGCUAGUAAUCGCAGGUCAGCAUACUGCGGUGAAUACGUUCCCGGGCCUUGUACACACCGCCCGUCACACCAUGGAAGUUGGCCAUGCCCGAAGUCGUUACUCCAACCCUUGUGGAGGAGGACGC
RNAcentral lists this ribosomal RNA (986 nucleotides) under uncultured cyanobacterium. RNAcentral describes it as "bacterial SSU rRNA". It matches the Rfam family "Bacterial small subunit ribosomal RNA", at positions 471 to 1456 of the family's 1533-position model. Lineage: Bacteria; Bacillati; Cyanobacteriota. The record is from RNAcentral.